ACAAAUCAUUGAUAAAUUUGCUAUAUUUGAAAGUCUUGUUCAGUAUUUGUACACCUUUAACACCACCCAGCUUAUAGAAGCAUGGAUUAGACGUUUCUAUCUUAAAGCUUCAACAAGAAUGUUCUAGACGCUUCGAUCUGUGCAAGAAUUUUGCUUAAUAUGUUCUGAUGUGCACCUGUUUUAAACUAGACUUAAAGAGGAAGCGGAACUUUCCAUUAGCCGGUAUAAACUUCUAGUUGUCAUCUUAGCUUUAACAGAUAAAAUUCGAUUAUGGGAAUACCUUGUAUAUUUUUUCUCACUAUAUUACUCAGUUAUGUAAACCAAGUACAUUUACAGAUGUACCAUCCUCGAGAUAUCAGCAGAGGUCAACAACAGAAUAAACUUAAAAGGAGUUAUCUUAUUCAACUAUUAAACGAUCUAUUGAAUAAACCUGAAACUAAGACCAAUGUAAAUAGAAAGCGAUCGUGUAAUCUCAACCUCGGAUUCCAUUGUCAAACAGAUGAAUAUUCUUCAAUAGCCGACAUGUUUGAUUUUCUACAGAGUUCUCUCAGUCCAGGAAAACGAAAAAGAAAUCUGAAAAUUUUAUCAAUAGAGGGAUCUUAAGGCACAGAUUUGAACGUCCGGACACAAACCAUCAUAGGCCUAAACAGAGUGGACAAUUAACUGGGUUUCUUCAUCGCUGUAACGAUUACCAGAGGAACGUAGAUAUACCUUACAUCACCAUAAUACAAGCUUACAAGAAACCGUACAAAACAGAAAAUAAAUCCACAAAAGACAAUGUGAAAAGUGUUGUGUAAAGUGUGUUUAUUUAACUUCUGCGUCCAGAUAAAUGAUAUCGCUGAGAAAUGCAGCAAAUCUUUAAAAUCUCUCUGAAACUUAUAAUGCUUGUUUUAUUCUUAAAUAACCAAACGUUUUGUACCUCUAAAUAUAAAUCCUGAAAGGAUAUGUAUUAAAAAAGGUGUUAAUAUCAGAUUACAAUACGAGGGCUGGCUGAAAAGUUCUAAGAAUAUCUGUAAAAGACCUGUACAAAGUCGAUGGUUUCCAUUUCUUUUUCUACACACUCCCCUUCGAGAUGUGCACACUUUUGCCAACGAUGUUGCAAGGCCUGGAUGCCGGUCAGGAAGAUUUUUUUUCAGCCACUCUAAAAAAAGUCGUUCACAGCGGACAUAACGUCAGGAUCUGCUUCAAAACGGCGGAGAUUGUCACGGGACGUCAGGAAUCGGACAUAUUUCUGAUCCGCAGUCAAGAGCUUUUGCACCCAUCUUGCAGAAACAUUUAACAUUCCUAACUCGUUGGCAAUAAUGUGCGUAACCACUCUCAUGAGAGAUACCCACAACACUGGCAUCAAUCGUCGAUCAGCCAUCACCAUGUCAUGCACCCGUAUAAUGUUUACUUAAAUGGUUGAUGUUGAUGGCCUUCUAGGACGCGAGUCAUCGCCAAGGCUCUCCCUGCGUAACUUCUGCAGCCCACAUGUCGUCAUGUAUCUGUGUUGGGGCGAGUCCUUUCAGUUGCAGGUACUUGAUGGCUGUCCUAUUGCCGGUUUUGUCCAUUUGUGGGAUUUCAAUGGGUAGGUUCAUAAGAUGGUCUAGUAUGAAGACAAUAAUAACACUACAGAUGCAGUUCUAAGGUCUAUGAUUCAUUCAAUGAUUGCACUUGUUGGUGGCAAAAGUUUGUUUCAACCCAAUUGAUCUAUCCUUUUUAGGCUUAGAACUAUUCAGCCAGCCUUAGUACCAGUUUUAAGAUAUGAAUCAUUUUUUAUUGGAUCGAUGAUACUACACUAUGAAUACAUCACUAAAAACCCGGCUUAUGACAUAAAAAUACCGCAAUAGAGCAUUGUAGUUAAUGUUCAUUUGCUGGUUGAAAUAACGCAUCCAUCAUUUAUGUUUAAAACAACCAAAAAAUAAAUA
Long non-coding RNA from Patella vulgata (common limpet), 1907 nucleotides. RefSeq lists it as uncharacterized. Lineage: Eukaryota; Metazoa; Mollusca; Gastropoda; Patellidae. The record is from RefSeq and is a predicted model, not a curated record. The transcript is spliced from 5 exons.